CUACGGGGCGCAGCAGUGGGGAAUAUUGGACAAUGGGGGAAACCCUGAUCCAGCAAUGCCGCGUGUGUGAAGAAGGCCUGCGGGUUGUAAAGCACUUUCGGUUGGGAGGACUGCUUCUAGCACUAAUAUUGUUGGAAGUUGACGUUACCUUCAGAAGAAGCACCGGCUAACUCCGUGCCAGCAGCCGCGGGUAAUACGGAGGGUGCAAGCGUUAAUCGGAAUUACUGGGCGUAAAGCGCGCGUAGGCGGCUAGAUCAGUCGGGGGUGAAAGCCCCGGGCUUAACCUGGGAACUGCAUCCGAUACUGUCUAGCUUGAGUACAGGAGAGGGGAGUGGAAUUCCACAUGUAGCGGUGAAAUGCGUAGAUAUGUGGAGGAACACCAAUGGCGAAGGCAGCUCUCUGGCCUGAUACUGACGCUGAGGUGCGAAAGCGUGGGGAGCAAACAGGAUUAGAUACCCGCGUAGUC
Molecule: ribosomal RNA, 466 nt
Filed under: uncultured bacterium
Lineage: Bacteria
Description: partial 16S ribosomal RNA
Rfam family: Bacterial small subunit ribosomal RNA
Source: RNAcentral